GAAUCUGGAGACAGGUGCUGCAUGGCUGUCGUCAGCUCGUGUCGUGAGAUGUUGGGUUAAGUCCCGCAACGAGCGCAACCCUUGCCUUUAGUUGCCAGCAGUUCGGCUGGGCACUCUAAAGGGACUGCCGGUGUUAAACCGGAGGAAGGUGGGGAUGACGUCAAGUCCUCAUGGCCUUUAUGACCAGGGCUACACACGUACUACAAUGGCCGAUACAAAGGGCAGCGACACUGCGAGGUGAAGCCAAUCCGUAAAAUCGGUCUCAGUCCGGAUUGGAGUCUGCAACUCGACUCCAUGAAGUUGGAAUCGCUAGUAAUCGUGGAUCAGCAUGCCACGGUGAAUACGUUCCCGGGCCUU
Molecule: ribosomal RNA, 357 nt
Filed under: uncultured Desulfobulbus sp.
Lineage: Bacteria; Pseudomonadati; Thermodesulfobacteriota; Desulfobulbia; Desulfobulbales; Desulfobulbaceae
Description: bacterial SSU rRNA
Rfam family: Bacterial small subunit ribosomal RNA
Source: RNAcentral